This 253-nucleotide ribosomal RNA is filed under the name uncultured bacterium. RNAcentral's name for it is "partial 16S ribosomal RNA". It matches the Rfam family "Bacterial small subunit ribosomal RNA", at positions 524 to 776 of the family's 1533-position model. The record is from RNAcentral.
UACGUAGGGUGCGAGCGUUGUCCGGAAUUACUGGGCGUAAAGAGCUCGUAGGUGGUUUGUCGCGUUGUUCGUGAAAACUCACAGCUUAACUGUGGGCGUGCGGGCGAUACGGGCAGACUGGAGUACUGCAGGGGAGACUGGAAUUCCUGGUGUAGCGGUGGAAUGCGCAGAUAUCAGGAGGAACACCGGUGGCGAAGGCGGGUCUCUGGGCAGUAACUGACACUGAGGGACGAAAGCUAGGGGAGCGAAUGGG